GCGGCAUGCCUAACACAUGCAAGUCGAACGGAAAUUUAGCGUCGGUUAAAUUUUAGUGGCAAACGGGUGAGUAACGCGUGGGAAUCUACCCUCUGGUGGGGGAUAACUAAAGGAAACUUUAGAUAAGACCGCAUAUUCUUGGAAAUAAGGAAAGAUUUAUCGCAAGAGGAGGAGCCUGCGUCAGAUUAGGUAGUUGGUAGGGUAAUGGCCUACCAAGCCUGUGGUCUGUAGCUGGUCUGAGAGGAUGAUCAGCCACACUGGGACUGAGACACGGCCCAGACUCCUACGGGAGGCAGCAGUGGGGAAUAUUGGACAAUGGGGGAAACCCUGAUCCAGCAAUGCCGCGUGAAUGAAGAAGGCCUUCGGGUUGUAAAGUUCUUUCGCCUGUGACGAUAAUGACGGUAGCAGGAAAAGAAGUCCCGGCUAACUCCGUGCCAGCCGCCGCCGUAA
RNAcentral lists this ribosomal RNA (450 nucleotides) under uncultured bacterium. RNAcentral describes it as "partial 16S ribosomal RNA". It matches the Rfam family "Bacterial small subunit ribosomal RNA", at positions 39 to 523 of the family's 1533-position model. The record is from RNAcentral.